This 439-nucleotide ribosomal RNA is filed under the name uncultured bacterium. RNAcentral describes it as "partial 16S ribosomal RNA". It matches the Rfam family "Bacterial small subunit ribosomal RNA", at positions 339 to 795 of the family's 1533-position model. The record is from RNAcentral.
CUACGGGUCGCAGCAGUGAGGAAUAUUGCACAAUGGAGGAAACUCUGAUGCAGCAACGCCGCGUGGAGGAUGACGCAUUUCGGUGUGUAAACUCCUUUUAUAUGUCAAGAAAAUGACGGUAGCAUAUGAAUAAGCUCCGGCUAACUCCGUGCCAGCAGCCGCGGUAAUACGGAGGGAGCAAGCGUUACUCGGAAUCACUGGGCGUAAAGGACGCGUAGGCGGGAUAGAAAGUCAGGUGUGAAAUCCUAUGGCUCAACCAUAGAACUGCACUUGAAACUUCUAACCUAGAGUAUGGGAGGGGAAGAUGGAAUUAGUGGUGUAGGGGUAAAAUCCGUAGAUAUCACUAGGAAUACCAAAAGCGAAGGCGAUCUUCUGGAACAAUACUGACGCUAAGGCGUGAAAGCGUGGGGAGCAAACAGGGUUAGAUACCCGGGUAGUC